CCGUUGUGUUCCUGAGGCAGUUUGGAUGGACAGGCCGAUAAGACUUCGCUUCGCCUCUAAAGGACGUCGUUGGGAUCGGGGUCCCUGUGAGCAGAAGCUUACAAUCCUCGCACGGGAGGAGAACACAUUGGAAAAUAUACAGAAUCAACCUUCAUCUGGGGAACACUGAAAUACGUUCUAAUGAAAUGCAAAAAAAAAAAAAAAAAAACCAUUUUAUGAGAGAAAUGAGCAUGUAAAGUAAAUAAAAGAUAAAAAACAUUUGCUGCCCUCAUGGAAAACGAAGAAAGGUACCAAUGACAUGAUUUGGAAGUAAUUGCAGCUGUACAGGCCAAGUUCCGGAGUUCAGUGGGCGUCUGAGAAAGGCGGUCAUGCUCCCGGCAUCCACCUCGUUAGGCGUAAACCUCCCGCUCCCCCUUUUCCUGAAGACGCUGCUCCUCCCUGGCUGAGACAUGGUGUCAUCACCUCACCAGAGAAGACCCUGGGUAAGAAACCCGUUCUCCCUCCGCCUCACGCCCCAUCCCCUCAGAGGCUGGUAAUCAGGGAGUCCCACCAAAUGUGGAGUCAUUACCGUCAUUCUCCUGCUCUUUUAGGUUUGACCGCUGCCCACCAUUGCAUUUAAAAAGCUGCUGGCCAAGCCCCAGAUGCUUUCCUUCCAAGACUCUUACAUAACAGAAUGUUAUUUGUACCCCAAACAGUUAUGUAUCGUUGCAUGUGUCUUAGGUUUUUUAGACGGUUGGGUUGGUGCCUGGAAAGAAAGUUCAUGGGAGCUGUUAUCUCCUGACCAUCCCCAUUAGGUGAAAUUCCGCAGUUAAGAGGACACCCAAGAAGUAGUCAUUUCCCUGGCAUCCAUCCCAUUAGAGAUGAGCCUCUCCCUCCCUCCUUCUCUGAAGAAACUCCUCUUCCCUGGUGUAGACACAAUGUAACCAUUUCAUCAGACGCCAUCAAGAAAAUAAUUUUUUAUUUUAAUCAUGUGUUUGAGCCUGUAUGACCAUCAGGCAAAAGCAAGCACACAUAGGAAGGGCUUAAUGUGCUCAAAAAACAGGGCAACCACAAGUCAAAACCAAACAUUAACAUUCGCAAAAACUGAAAAUUCCCCUCAGACCCACUCCCCAUCCCAUC
This 1119-nucleotide long non-coding RNA is filed under the name Sus scrofa (pig). Its description in RNAcentral is "lncRNA (ENSSSCG00015000178.1)". The record is from RNAcentral. Lineage: Eukaryota; Metazoa; Chordata; Mammalia; Artiodactyla; Suidae.